Molecule: long non-coding RNA, 2089 nt
Organism: Aegilops tauschii subsp. strangulata
Lineage: Eukaryota; Viridiplantae; Streptophyta; Magnoliopsida; Poales; Poaceae
Source: RefSeq, a predicted model, not a curated record
CCGUGGACCCACACCACAGCCUCUCUCUCUCCUCUCAGCCACGAUCUCCCUCCCUCGCAAAAAUCCCCAAGUCCGCCCCUGUCCUCGUCUUGCCGCCGUCGCUCGUCGAUGCCCGCAUCGCCGCCCGCACGCGGAGCUCCGCUGUCCCGUCUGUCGCUGGCCACCUCGACGCGGACGGGGAGCAGCACGAAGCUCCGCUGGAGCGGCCCCCGCCCUCGAGCUUCUCGGCUGCACGGGAGGUUGGCGCCGACGAACGUGGGCCGGCGGAGCGGCGAAAGGAUGGGGACGGCUCGGAGAGCGGCGGUUCCGGGUCAGUCACCAUGCCCAGGUGCCGCAGCGAGACCGGGUCCACGGACUAACUAAUCCGGUGGUGCAUGCACUGGGCUGAUGAUGCACGAACUGAACCGACGAGGCUGCAGUUACAUACGCGCCUGUCCGUGGUCCGUGGCCAUGAUCUGCUGCGCGGCGCCGCGGUUCUGGUGGCUGAGGAGGAGGCGGCCGCCAUGAUGCUUCGCGCCCAGCGGAUCGUCGUCCUUCUUCGACGGCGUGCUCCGUCUGGCAUCCGCCAUCGAGCCCCAGAAGCGCGGUCUCCUCACAGAGGCGCGGGCGAGCGUGCGUCCUAGCCAGCGCGUGCUUGAGUGCAGUGCGUGCCAUUGCCGGGAGUGCAUACAACAUGUUCGAUGAAAUGUCUAAGAAAAGAGAGGCGGACCAAUGAGGAGAAAUUUGAUGAUUGUCCCGACCGCUAUCCGUUGUGACUCCCAUUGGAGUUGCCCUCGUUUCUUUCUCUUUUUCCCACUUAAAAAGAGCGCAAAGGUUCUGUCGUCCACCUCGUCCAUCGUCCAACCUGUACGUUCCCCGCUCUCUGUGUUCUGAUUUUCUCCAUUCUAUCUCUGAAUUUUUUCGCAUGUUUUCCUUAAAAAAUAUCUUAACUGUCCCACCUUUUAUUGACUUAUGAACUAAAAUUAUAUUUACUUUGGCAAGUCAAUAGUUUUUUUUAAUCAAAUACCAAAUUUAUUUAGGUUGGUAAAUCACAUGCAAGAUUUAUAGACAUUUAUUUACACAUUUCCAUUAAUAUGAGUGGGUAAAUCGCAUGCUAACAUAUUAGAAUAUUUAUACACGUUGCUCACACGGACAGGGCAAUUAUCUAGUCUAGAAAAAAAAUCCGAUACGGUUGAUACACAGUGUGCUUGCCUCACCAUCUCCCUCCUCGCCGUAGUGUUCGAUCCCAAGGCCUAAUGCACGCCGAGAUCUUCUCCCGCCGUAUUCCCUCUAAGGCCUCUUUCUUGUCCAUCUCUUCUCUUGCUGGAUCCCCGAUGCGCCACUGCAAACUGAUUGGAGGAUCAGUUCAAGCCCGGCGAUGGCGUGGUAAGAAGAUCACACUCAUCGACGAUGACUGGAGAGGAGUAGGUGAGAAGAAGGCGGUGGAGGUCGCGCGCGCAUCGGCACUCGGGCGCUGGAGAGGCACAUGGCAGAGCGGGGGAAUGGCGCCGUCUGUUCAACUCGCAUAUUGUCUCCGUUGGAAUCCCUGAUGUGGAGAACUAGCUUUGUCGUAUAAUUCCUGUGGACUGCAUAGAAAUCUUCCAUGGCCAUCAAUAUGCUGAUUCGUCAGCUCCGAACUAUAAUAUCAACUGUCUGUUUGGGCUAUCUUUUUCUUGUGGAAGAAUCUACCGUUCUAUAUGUAUGUAUAAAGUGGAUGACACCUGUACUUCGAAGUGAUGGCUCGGCAAGUUCGAGGAAAGUUCCUGUGCCAAACCCAUGAAGAAUGACGUUGGUAAAUUCCUCAUCCGUUGAAUCUUCUGAAUCCAAGACUUUGAUCCUUGAGGAAUGGGAUUGUGACAAGUCAAGGAGCUCAGCUUAUACUCUUCCAUGCUUGUGUUGUAUAUGGUGGAAGGUUUAUUUUUGAAUAGUGCAAGUUGCAUUUUUCAUCAAACUGAAGUUGCACUUUCCAGAAUCGAUCAAAAGAUAAGAAAUAUGUCCCCCUCUAGGUGCUUACAUAACUGUACUUAAUCAUUUCUUCUCGAGAAAAUAGAGGAACGAGUUAGUUAAUGACUAUUGAGUAGUGGCAUAUUUGCUACGCUGAUUACAUUCA